RNAcentral lists this ribosomal RNA (454 nucleotides) under uncultured fungus. RNAcentral describes it as "eukaryotic LSU rRNA". It matches the Rfam family "Eukaryotic large subunit ribosomal RNA", at positions 40 to 451 of the family's 3401-position model. The record is from RNAcentral. Lineage: Eukaryota; Fungi.
AUAUUACUCAGCGGAGGAAAAGAAAACAACCGUGAUUCCCUUAGUGAGCGGCGAGCGAAGAGGGACCGAACUCGAUGCCGAAUCGGGCUUCACAGAGCCUUGAGUUGUGGCAAGCUGUUUCGUGACUGGUGUGGGAUUGGCGAAAUUCAAUGCGCAAAGCAAACCCAUUGCUGAACACAACCCUUCAUGUGAGUAUUGAGCCAAAGAAGGUGACAGCCCAUUGAGCCAAAAACCCGAGCACCUCACUGAGCAGUAUCAAGCGAGUAGCGCUUCUUGGGAGUGAAGCGUCAAUCGGCAGGUAUGUGUCUGCCAAAGUUAAAUAUAGAGUAGGAAGACCGAUAUCGAACAAGUAGCGUGAGCGAAAGUUUGAAAAGCACUUUGGAAAGAGAGUGACAUAGAACCUGAAGUCGUGACAAUGACAAUGGAAGCAUCUCCAUUUGAUCGCCAAAACCAG